This 253-nucleotide ribosomal RNA is filed under the name uncultured bacterium. RNAcentral describes it as "partial 16S ribosomal RNA". It matches the Rfam family "Bacterial small subunit ribosomal RNA", at positions 524 to 776 of the family's 1533-position model. The record is from RNAcentral.
UACGGGGGGAGCACGCGGUAUGCGGAAUCAUUGGGCGUAAAGGGCGCGUAGGCGGUCUUUUAAGUCAGAUGUGAAAGCCCUCGGCUUAACCGAGGAAGUGCAUUUGAUACUAAAAGACUUGAGUAUGGGAGAGGGAAGCGGAAUUCCUGGUGUAGCGGUGAAAUGCGUAGAUAUCAGGAGGAACACCGGUGGCGAAGGCGGCUUCCUGGACCAAUACUGACGCUGAGGCGCGAAGGCGUGGGGAGCAAACAGG